UAAGCGGAGGAAAAGAAACCAACAGGGAUUGCCUCAGUAACGGCGAGUGAAGCGGCAAAAGCUCAAAUUUUAAAGCUGGCACCUCCGGUGUCCGCGUUGUAAUUUUGUGAGGCAUCUCCGGGUAGGGCGCCGGCCUAAGUUCCUUGGAACAGGACGUCAUAGAGGGUGAGAAUCCCGUGCUUGGCUGGCUGUCCCCGUCCAUGUGAGGUGUCUUCGACGAGUCGAGUUGUUUGGGAAUGCAGCUCAAAAUGGGUGGUAAAUUUCAUCUAAAGCUAAAUAUUGGUGGGAGACCGAUAGCGCACAAGUAGAGUGAUCGAAAGAUGAAAAGCACUUUGAAAAUAGAGUUAAAAAGUACGUGAAAUUGUUGAAAGGGAAGCGCUUGAGACCAGACUUCGGUGGGGAGUGAUCAGCUGUCCUUCUGGGCGGUGCACUUGCUCCCCUCCGGGCCAGCAUCGGUUGGGACGGCGGGAUAAAGGUCCUGGGAAUGUGGCUCCUUUCGGGGAGUGUUAUAGCCCGGGAUGAAAUGCCGCCAGCUCCGACCGAGGACCGCGCCUUCGGGCUAGGAUGCUUGGCAUAAUGGUCUUCAGCGACCCGUCUUGA
Molecule: ribosomal RNA, 600 nt
Filed under: Morchella ulmaria
Lineage: Eukaryota; Fungi; Ascomycota; Pezizomycetes; Pezizales; Morchellaceae
Description: partial 28S ribosomal RNA
Rfam family: Eukaryotic large subunit ribosomal RNA
Source: RNAcentral